Molecule: ribosomal RNA, 497 nt
Filed under: uncultured bacterium
Lineage: Bacteria
Description: partial 16S ribosomal RNA
Rfam family: Bacterial small subunit ribosomal RNA
Source: RNAcentral
GAUGAACGCUGGCGGCGUGCCUAAUACAUGCAAGUCGAGCGAACAGACGAGGAGCUUGCUCCUCUGACGUUAGCGGCGGACGGGUGAGUAACACGUGGAUAACCUACCUAUAAGACUGGGAUAACUUCGGGAAACCGGAGCUAAUACCGGAUAAUAUAUUGAACCGCAUGGUUCAAUAGUGAAAGACGGUUUUGCUGUCACUUAUAGAUGGAUCCGCGCCGCAUUAGCUAGUUGGUAAGGUAACGGCUUACCAAGGCAACGAUGCGUAGCCGACCUGAGAGGGUGAUCGGCCACACUGGAACUGAGACACGGUCCAGACUCCUACGGGAGGCAGCAGUAGGGAAUCUUCCGCAAUGGGCGAAAGCUUGACGGAGCAACGCCGCGUGAGUGAUGAAGGUCUUCGGAUCGUAAAACUCUGUUAUUAGGGAAGAACAAAUGUGUAAGUACCUAUGCACGUCUUGACGGUACCUAAUCAGAAAGCCACGGCUAACUCCGUG